GACGAACGCUGGCGGCGUGCCUAAUACAUGCAAGUAGAACGCUGGAGAGAGGAGCUUGCUCUUCUUGGAUGAGUUGCGAACGGGUGAGUAACGCGUAGGUAACCUGCCUGGUAGCGGGGGAUAACUAUUGGAAACGAUAGCUAAUACCGCAUGAUAUUAAUUGUCGCAUGAUAAUUAAUUGAAAGAUGCAAUUGCAUCACUACCAGAUGGACCUGCGUUGUAUUAGCUAGUUGGUGAGGUAACGGCUCACCAAGGCGACGAUACAUAGCCGACCUGAGAGGGUGAUCGGCCACACUGGGACUGAGACACGGCCCAGACUCCUACGGGAGGCAGCAGUAGGGACAUCCUCGGCAAUGGGGGGAACCCUGACCGAGCAACGCCGCGUGAGUGAAGAAGGUUUUCGGAUCGUAAAGCUCUGUUGUAAGAGAAGAACGGGUGUGAGAGUGGAAAGUUCACACU
This 459-nucleotide ribosomal RNA is filed under the name Streptococcus sanguinis. RNAcentral describes it as "bacterial SSU rRNA". It matches the Rfam family "Bacterial small subunit ribosomal RNA", at positions 28 to 470 of the family's 1533-position model. The record is from RNAcentral. Lineage: Bacteria; Bacillati; Bacillota; Bacilli; Lactobacillales; Streptococcaceae.